Molecule: ribosomal RNA, 492 nt
Filed under: uncultured bacterium
Lineage: Bacteria
Description: partial 16S ribosomal RNA
Rfam family: Bacterial small subunit ribosomal RNA
Source: RNAcentral
AGUGAACGCUGGCGGUAGGCCUAACACAUGCCAGUCGAACGGCAGCACAGUAAGAGCUUGCUCUUACGGGUGGCGAGUGGCGGACGGGUGAGGAAUACAUCGGAAUCUACUUUUUCGUGGGGGAUAACGUAGGGAAACUUACGCUAAUACCGCAUACGACCUACGGGUGAAAGCAGGGGAUCUUCGGACCUUGCGCGAUUGAAUGAGCCGAUGUCGGAUUAGCUAGUUGGCGGGGUAAAGGCCCACCAAGGCGACGAUCCGUAGCUGGUCUGAGAGGAUGAUCAGCCACACUGGAACUGAGACACGGUCCAGACUCCUACGGGAGGCAGCAGUGGGGAAUAUUGGACAAUGGGCGCAAGCCUGAUCCAGCCAUACCGCGUGGGUGAAGAAGGCCUUCUGGUUGUAAAGCCCUUUUGUUGGGAAAGAAAAGCAGCAGGUUAAUACCCCGCUGUUCUGACGGUACCCAAAGAAUAAGCACCGGCUAACUUCGUG